RNAcentral lists this unclassified non-coding RNA (269 nucleotides) under air metagenome. Its description in RNAcentral is "partial contains small subunit ribosomal RNA, internal transcribed spacer 1, and 5.8S ribosomal RNA". The stretch from base 1 to 46 matches the Rfam family "Eukaryotic small subunit ribosomal RNA", at positions 1786 to 1831 of the family's 1831-position model. The record is from RNAcentral.
AAGUCGUAACAAGGUUUCCGUAGGUGAACCUGCGGAAGGAUCAUUAACGAGAUAGGGUCCUUCGGGGCCCGACCUCCAACCCAUUGUCUACCAUACCUCUGUUGCCUCGGUGGGCCGCCGGCCGUCCCCUUUACGGGGGGUGGCCGCCGUCGGUCUUCGCGGGUUUUCGAGCGCCCACCGAUGGGACUUAUAAACUCUUUUUUAAAACAAGUUUUCUGAGUGAGAAAUCAAUAGCAUUAAAACUUUUAACAACGGAUCUCUUGGUUCUG